Molecule: long non-coding RNA, 767 nt
Organism: Tupaia belangeri chinensis (Chinese tree shrew)
Lineage: Eukaryota; Metazoa; Chordata; Mammalia; Scandentia; Tupaiidae
Exons: 3
Source: RefSeq, a predicted model, not a curated record
GUAUUGAUUUUUCUGUACCAUUCAUGCCACUGAACCACUGAACUGCCCUUUGCCCAUGACAACCUGUCAGGAGGCUGUCCUGGGUGCUGGGAUCUGCCCGGCCCUAGAUUCAAUUUCGGCUCCGAAACUCUCUUGGAUGCUUCUGGGCAAAUGACUUAACCUCCCAGGGCCUCAGUUUGCUUCUCGGCAAGAUGAGGAACAAAAGGCCUGCAGCACCCCCGGACCUCCACGUGGAUAUAAGUCAUCUUCGUGCUGACAGGACUGAAGUCUGGCUGAAACAAACCCCCUGGCAGAUGCUGACCAGCCAUAGCAGACCUCCCGUGGAGUCUGACAUGUCUCUAGAUGCUGCCACAGGCUGCGGAAUGACUCAGUCCCCCCACUUUUCUCUACCUGAAUGACUGCAAUACGUCUGUUUGCACAGUAGGCUGUUACAUCAUCUGGCCUUCGCUUGGCUUCAACGCGUCAUUUACGCAUUAAAUCCACCUCUGUUCUUUUCUUGUUAGCCAGCAGCAAUUAAAAAGGACUGCCUGAUGCCAACACAAUCAUUGACACAAAUGCAGAGUUGGGCAGUGAAAUCCUGGGUCAACAAUAAACUCUAAGGUGGUCAUGCUGACAGUCAUGUAACGAAAAUAAUCGGAGUGGUUAACUUGCUGUGCGCGGGCACCAUGCUAAGUGUGUUACGUGUGGGGUCUUAUUUAACACUCCAACAAUCCUAGAAAGUAAGUGCUACCCAUUUUACAGAUAAGAACAUUGUCGGGCCAGCCUGC